AAAUGUGCAUUUGAUACUACUCUUUUGAAUGAUUUCUAGCUGUAUGUAUUUAGUACGCUAUCCAGACUUCAUAGUAUUAAAAAUGACUGUACUUCUUAAGCUAUGAUACAUUUCGCACAAGCCUUAAUAUAAAUGAAGUCAUUUGGCAAAAUAGAGUGUAUCUACCACAAUGCCAUGGCAAACUCUUUCCACUAACUUGCAGUCAUAAAUAGAUGUGCAAAAUACUUAAAGGUAUACUAUAAGAAUACAAGUCAAUGCUUCCCUAUGGUGAAAUAGCUUAUGCUGAAUGUCCUCAUGCAGAGCGUUGGUUAUUGGACCAAAAGUUCGUUAGCAGCCAGGAAGCGCCUCCAGUGGCUGUCUGAGAGACAGCUACAGGAGGCAGACUUAGGGCUGUAAAUGUAAAUAUUGCAGUUUCUCUGGACUAAGUACAAUAAGGACACUGUACCCAGAGACCACUUUAAUGAGCUGAAGUGGUCUGGGUGCCUAUAGUGCCCCUUUAAAGCUGUUUAUUUGGGUGUUGAUACUGUGUAUUCUGUCAAAAUGUCCUUGCCACAUUUGUUAGCCAGAUGCCACUCAGUUUGAUUGAACAGCCCAAAAAUUGUUCACCACUUAGAAUGCCACAUGAUACGUCUUCAUGCCUUGCAUUAAUGCAUACCUCUGAGAAAAUGUGAACUAUGUGUGUGUUUACUUUACAUGUCAGUAAAUCUUUAUUGUGCUGUAACCAUUUAUGAAGCUUUUUGUAUGAGGCAACCUAGUGUUGUACAUAUAAAUUAUUUUAAAAUAUGUGAAUAUGUAAACUCCUAUGGUAUGUGCAAUAGAUAGGAAAAUAUUCUUCAUGUUAUAACUUUGCUACAAAUUUUACACCACUGACUUCUAUUCGUGUUAAUGUUUAAUAUAUUAUUGUUUUGUUGGAGAUUUGUCAACUUGAUAUUAAUGCAGUUGUAAUGUAAUUGAUUCAGUAACAAUAAAUGUUUUUUGCAUUUUUGGGACACUAUAGUCACCAACACAACUUUAACCUAAUGAAACAGUUUUUGUCUAUAGAUCAGGCCUUUGAUGUCUCAUAGCUCCAUUCUCUGCCAUUUAGGAGUUAAGUCACUUUUGUUUCUGUUUUUGCAGACUUUGUUACAUCUCUCCUGGGUGUGACUCACACAGCCUGUAUGAAAAAAAAUGGUUUCAUAUUCAAUUCGAUGUUAACUAACUUUAGAAGUUUUUAUCUCCUGAUCUGUAAAUUGAAUCACUCACAAAAGCAUCCUGUAAGGUCUAGCAAGCUAUACACAGUGAAGGAGAUAAAACAUUAUAUAUUAAACAGACUGUGCAAUCAAGGUAGUGUAAACAUUAGAUCUCAAUUUACAGGAAGUGUUUAGGAAAGCUGUGUAAGUCAUAGGCAGGAAGGUCUGACAAGGGUUGCUUAAACAAAGUGAUUUAAUUCCUUAAUGGCAGAGAAUUGAGCUGUGAGACUGCAGGGGCAUGAUCUGCAUACCAAAACUGCUUCAUUAAGCUAAAGUUGUUUUGGUGACUAUAGUCAGUGGUGUAUCCUGGUUUUGUGCUGCCCUAGGCAGAACAAAACUCAGGCGCCCCCCUGCCCCCGCGCCACCCCCACCC
RNAcentral lists this long non-coding RNA (1602 nucleotides) under Pelobates cultripes (western spadefoot toad). The record is from RNAcentral. Lineage: Eukaryota; Metazoa; Chordata; Amphibia; Anura; Pelobatidae.